RNAcentral lists this transfer RNA (71 nucleotides) under Camelus bactrianus (Bactrian camel). It matches the Rfam family "tRNA". From Rfam's summary of the family: Transfer RNA (tRNA) molecules are approximately 80 nucleotides in length. Their secondary structure includes four short double-helical elements and three loops (D, anti-codon, and T loops). Lineage: Eukaryota; Metazoa; Chordata; Mammalia; Artiodactyla; Camelidae. RNAcentral also lists the same sequence under 2 other names. The record is from Rfam by way of RNAcentral.
AGGGAAAUAGUCCAGUGGUAGAGCGCAUGCUAAGCAUGCAUGAGGUCCUGGGUUCAAUCCCCAGUACCUUA